CUCCAUCCUCUCUACCAAUCAUCUUCACCUUUCCACUGAAGAGUUCCUGAAACAAACAAUAGUCAGGAAAAAAGGAUGCAGAACAAUUCAACUCCUUGGUUAGUUUAGCAACAAAUAACAGAUUAAAUUUGAACUGAGGAAUAUAAAAUACUCCUGAAACUGUGUUCUUCCCAUCUAGUGUGCUAGAACCUAGAUGUGUUACCAAGGCUUUAUCACCAUUUGGAAGAUGUACUUUCUUGGGAUUUUCAACUUUAGAUAUAGA
This 262-nucleotide long non-coding RNA is filed under the name Solanum tuberosum (potato). RNAcentral's name for it is "long non-coding RNA (STUB_LNC006603)". The record is from RNAcentral. Lineage: Eukaryota; Viridiplantae; Streptophyta; Magnoliopsida; Solanales; Solanaceae.